RNAcentral lists this non-coding RNA (21 nucleotides) under Arabidopsis thaliana (thale cress). Lineage: Eukaryota; Viridiplantae; Streptophyta; Magnoliopsida; Brassicales; Brassicaceae. The record is from RNAcentral.
UCAUGGGUUGAGUUGAGUUGA